GGGUGGUCACUCGCGUAGCGCGACGGCUAAGGGGGUACCCCUCGCGCUACGCGACGGUGUCAAAAUUUCAGUAUAAAUAGCAGGGGUUGGGACUUGAAUUUUGGCACUUGAACGACGAAAAUCGGAGUUACGUAGGUCGAGUUAUAAGCAAAACAGUCCAACACACACACACAAUUAUCGAAUCACUGCCGCAAAACAGGGUAAUUAGUCGAUCGCUAUUACGAUUCAGUUUCCGGGAUCAAUAUACCCAAAGAAUGUCUAAGUGCUGCCCACAUUGGGCUAUGCUUUAUCGUUGUCGAUAAUUCGAUAAUGAGCCGAAGCAUUGUACUUUGUCGUUGUCGAUAAUUCGAUAUACGAGUUGAAGUACUAUACUUUGUCGUUUGUCAUUUUGAUAAAUGAGCUGAAGUAUUGCACUUGGACAUUCAUUGUAAAAAUUGAUCUCGGGGAAUUAUCGUAACUGCUGUAUUGAUCAUUAACCUGGUUCUUGUAAAAUUCGUUAAGAGUUGAUUUAGGUUUUCACCAAUACGUAUUCCAUUCUGUUAAACUACCAAGAAUACUCCCAACUACACCCUUACAAUCAAACAAACUAUAAAAUCAUCAGAAGAUCCAGAAUAAUAAAGUGCAUGCUUAAUUAUCGGAAGAAGUAGAAUCAGGAAGUUUGUUAAUUCAAUCCUGCAUGCUGAUUGUAAUUACAAUAGAUUGGAGCAAGGAUUGGAUCCGACACUAAAGGACUUCAAGAAGUGGCUUAUUUUAUUAAUUAAAUCAAUUAAGAAAUAUUGUUUUUAUUAAAAGCUACCUUUGUAAAACAUGGAAUUUAUUCCAUCUUUUUAAAUAAAAUCCGGUGUUUCUAAACUCUGAUAUUUUUCCUAACUCACGGUCCUGAUGAAAUUUCCGCUGCAAUGUUUUUCAAAAUAAUCACCGGUACCACUGGACUGCUCACGGCACCGAUUCCGGCUAGAUGGGGUCGGGGGUCGU
Molecule: long non-coding RNA, 975 nt
Filed under: Helianthus annuus (common sunflower)
Lineage: Eukaryota; Viridiplantae; Streptophyta; Magnoliopsida; Asterales; Asteraceae
Description: sRNA HanXRQr2_Chr15g0693501
Source: RNAcentral